AUUGAACGCUGGCGGCAUGCCUUACACAUGCAAGUCGAACGGCAGCACGGGUGCUUGCACCUGGUGGCGAGUGGCGAACGGGUGAGUAAUACAUCGGAACAUGUCCUGUAGUGGGGGAUAGCCCGGCGAAAGCCGGAUUAAUACCGCAUACGAUCUCCGGAUGAAAUCGGGGGACCUUCGGGCCUCGCGCUAUAGGGUUGGCCGAUGGCUGUUUAGCUAGUUGGUGGGGUAAAGGCCUACCAAGGCGACGAUCAGUAGCUGGUCUGAGAGGACGACCAGCCACACUGGAACUGAGACACGGCCAAGACGCCUACGGGAGGCAGCAGUGGGGAAUGUGGGACAAUGGGCGAAAGCCUGAUACAGCAAUGCCGCGUGUGUGAAGAAGGCCUUCGGGUUGUAAAGAACGUUUGUCCGGAAAGAAAUCCUUGGCCCUAAUACGGUCGGGGGAUGACGGUACCGGAAGAAUAAGCACCGGCUAACUACGUG
RNAcentral lists this ribosomal RNA (486 nucleotides) under uncultured bacterium. RNAcentral's name for it is "partial 16S ribosomal RNA". It matches the Rfam family "Bacterial small subunit ribosomal RNA", at positions 29 to 507 of the family's 1533-position model. The record is from RNAcentral.